Molecule: long non-coding RNA, 452 nt
Organism: Pongo pygmaeus (Bornean orangutan)
Lineage: Eukaryota; Metazoa; Chordata; Mammalia; Primates; Hominidae
Exons: 3
Source: RefSeq, a predicted model, not a curated record
AGAAAUACAGAAAUACUUUGAUAAGCUGCUGGGGGUAAGGGGUGAGUCCUCUCAGGGGCAUGCUUAGGAAACAAAGUAGUUCCCAAAAUCUAUGCAUAUGACAGAGAAGAAUUAGAUGGCCUUUGAGAGACCCAGAAGAAAAUGCAAAAAGAAAUAAGGAAAAAAAGGACAAAGCAACCUGCUGUGAGCCUCCUAAUCUUCCAUGGCCUGAAUUCCUAGUGCUCGAGAAACAAGCCCUGUGAAAAACAAGCUGCUGUCCCUGCUAGAGGCAUCCUGCAAUCCAUGGAUGUUUAUCACCAAGCCAUUGUUAACAUGAGACUUCAUCUGAUAGCCUGUGCAAUUGGAAGGACAUUCCCAAUUCUUCUGAUAGAGCCACUUCAGCAGCUUGCUCACACUCAUGCAACUAGCACAAGGAAAUCAAGUCUCAAAGUGGCUUUCAACAAGUCCUUCUG